UAAAUUUAAAAGUAGAUAAAAACACAUUAAAGAUGGUUGAAAUUUGGAGUGUAGAUAUUUGGUAAGAGCAUUUUAUAUUAUCUCUUUAUUAUCCAUUUUGAUUAAGUUGGAAAUAAGGGUGAUAAAAUGGGAUGAGUUUCGGCCUGCACUCUAAAACUGGUUGAAAAUCUGAGAGGUGCUUCCUUCACCACCACGGUCUUCUUCCAGCUCCUCUCCAAUUUAUAUUUUUUUCAAAAAUAUCUCUAUAAUUUUUUAUAUUUUUAAUUAAAAACCUUCAUUCUUUAUCCUCAUUCACAACACACCUCCUCCCCCUUCUUCUCCUUUUUUUUUCAUUUCCAUCACUCACCCUUAAAUUUCUUUGUGAAUCUUCUUCAAUUUUCAAAAUGGUCAUUUUAUUAUCACUAAAAUAAUUUUUGGAUUAUAUGCUCUACAAAGUUUUGGGAAUUUCAAGAACAAUAUUUUCGAAACAUGAAUUGCUACCUAGUUAAUCAUUAGAUUAACCUGAAUUUUUGAUAUGUAUUUUUCAAAAAAUAUUGACUCACUUUGACCACUCGAAUUUUUAAUUAUAGGUCUAUAUUUAGAGAAAUUAGUUUUAUGUUUUUUGGGGAAAUCAAGACCACCUUAACUCUAUUUUUGGAUCAUUUAGGAAAAAUUUAAGAUUAAGUUUCAUUAACUAUUAGAUCAAACUGAAAAUUUUACUGUUAUUCUAAACAUAUUGUUAUUUACUUCGAUUGGUUAAAUCUUUAAAUAAAUAUUUGUAGUUAAAACAAUUUUUCCACGUAAUAUUCCAAUUAUUUAAGUUGUUAAUAAACAGUGAUCAUAUUGGGUUAAAUUUUGAAUGAUUAUAUUAUUGUUUUGUAUGUAUGGUUGUAUCACUUACUUGAAUACUAUUUUAAGUUAAGCUAAGAACAUGAAUUUGGACCAAGUAUGUUAUACAUGAUGAAUUGGUUGAUUAAUAUGGACAUAUGAGUUUGACCAAAGAUCUCGAGGAGAGAUUCUGUAUUUAUAAUUGAUUAGUAUACACGUUGAUGUUGGGAGUCCUGACGUUGGUGGUUAUCUUGAUACUCUAAUAAGCAUUAAGUCUUAAUUAGAAAAAUAUGAGUUAUGGUGAGAGGAGCAUAAGGUUCUAGUCUAUGUACUGGUUUUGAACAUAGGUGUUAACGGACUAAUCUUGUAGAUGACAUGGUGUAUUGCAUUGACAAUGUCUCUGUAAUAAACAGUGGAGACUCUCACAAGUGUUUGACUUUUCGUGAUUUCGCAUCAACGUUUCAUCCGAAUGAUUGAGUCUAGUAUGAUUGUGGCUUUAUAAUAUGGUUAUUGUUAUGUGCAGAAAUAUAUUUAUGCAUGUCUUAUGAAUGAUCUUUUUCAUGUUAGAUUACCUCUUACUUGUUUGUGUUUGUAUUUGUAUUUGUGCAAUGAUUGUGUAACGUGUGUGCUAUACGGUAGAUAUGACGGAACAACAACUGAUCGAGUGAAACUAAAGAGAGAACUAGAGUAAUAAUCAGGAAGAGUUUUAAUCAUUUCAUAAGUGUUUUAAUUGAAAUUAAAAAUAUGUAUCUUCUAUGUGAACCCCUAAAUUAUUUCUCAAUAAUUAGAAACCAACAAAUAAACAAUGAAUAAUCAUGUAAUUAAAAACAAAAACAAACACAAGAGUAACGAAAAAUAAGUAUAUUGAAUAGUAGAAAUCAAAAUAGUAAAGAUAUAAUAUGUUUAACCCCAAUGAAUAAGAGAGUUAAUUACUCCUAGGA
RNAcentral lists this long non-coding RNA (1748 nucleotides) under Vigna radiata. RNAcentral describes it as "long non-coding RNA (VRAD_LNC010694)". Lineage: Eukaryota; Viridiplantae; Streptophyta; Magnoliopsida; Fabales; Fabaceae. The record is from RNAcentral.